CGCCAUGUGUCAUAAUCUUCGGAUUAGGCAUGGUACUCGAUGUCGAUCCUGACCAUUAAAGAAACCUAUAUAUAGGAGUUGAUCUUCUCCCAUUUUUGGCUUCACUAUUUUUCGCUCCACCUCGAGUCCAUGCCAUCCCUUUUCUCUGUCAAGAGUCUAACUGCCGGCGAGUCUUCUCCUCCGAUGCCAGUCUUCUACCAC
Molecule: long non-coding RNA, 201 nt
Filed under: Elaeis guineensis (African oil palm)
Lineage: Eukaryota; Viridiplantae; Streptophyta; Magnoliopsida; Arecales; Arecaceae
Description: long non-coding RNA (EGUI_LNC031159)
Source: RNAcentral